CUUAUGUCUGGGGCUACAAACAUGAUACAAUGGGGAGGACAAUGGGUUGCCAAGCCGCGAGGCGGAGCUAAUCCCUAAAACCUCCUCUCAGUUGGGAUUGCAGGCUGAAAUUCGUCUGCAUGAACCUGGAAUUGGUAGUAAUCGCGGAUCAGAUAAGCCGCGGUGAAUACGUUCUCGCUCUUUGUACACA
Molecule: ribosomal RNA, 190 nt
Filed under: Candidatus Blackburnbacteria bacterium
Lineage: Bacteria; Candidatus Blackburniibacteriota
Description: partial 16S ribosomal RNA
Rfam family: Bacterial small subunit ribosomal RNA
Source: RNAcentral